GUGGUAAUGCCGGAUGCUCCAUCACACCGCAUGGUGUGUUGGGAAAGCCUUUGCGGCAUGGGAUGGGGUCGCGUCCUAUCAGCUUGAUGGCGGGGUAACGGCCCACCAUGGCUUCGACGGGUAGCCGGCCUGAGAGGGCGACCGGCCACAUUGGGACUGAGAUACGGCCCAGACUCCUACGGGAGGCAGCAGUGGGGAAUAUUGCACAAUGGGCGCAAGCCUGAUGCAGCGACGCCGCGUGAGGGAUGGAGGCCUUCGGGUUGUAAACCUCUUUUGUUAGGGAGCAAGGCACUUUGUGUUGAGUGUACCUUUCGAAUAAGCACCGGCUAACUACGUGCCAGCAGCCGCGGUAAUACGUAGGGUGCAAGCGUUAUCCGGAAUUAUUGGGCGUAAAGGGCUCGUAGGCGGUUCGUCGCGUCCGGUGUGAAAGUCCAUCGCUUAACGGUGGAUCCGCGCCGGGUACGGGCGGGCUUGAGUGCGGUAGGGGAGACUGGAAUUCCCGGUGUAACGGUGGAAUGUGUAGAUAUCGGAAAGAACACCA
This 541-nucleotide ribosomal RNA is filed under the name Bifidobacterium breve. RNAcentral describes it as "bacterial SSU rRNA". It matches the Rfam family "Bacterial small subunit ribosomal RNA", at positions 160 to 711 of the family's 1533-position model. Lineage: Bacteria; Bacillati; Actinomycetota; Actinomycetes; Bifidobacteriales; Bifidobacteriaceae. The record is from RNAcentral.